This 1299-nucleotide ribosomal RNA is filed under the name metagenome. Its description in RNAcentral is "bacterial LSU rRNA". It matches the Rfam family "Bacterial large subunit ribosomal RNA", at positions 1638 to 2925 of the family's 2925-position model. The record is from RNAcentral.
ACGACCGUACCGCAAACCGACACUGGUGCGCGAGAUGAGUAUUCUAAGGCGCUUGAGAGAACUCAGGAGAAGGAACUCGGCAAAUUGACACCGUAACUUCGGAAGAAGGUGUGCCUUUAGUAGGUGAAGUCCCUCGCGGAUGGAGCCCAAUGAGGUUGCAAAAAAUCGGUGGCUGCGACUGUUUAUUAAAAACACAGCACUCUGCAAACACGAAAGUGGACGUAUAGGGUGUGACGCCUGCCCGGUGCUGUAAGAUUAAAUGAUGGGGUGCAAGCUCUUGAUUGAAGUCCCAGUAAACGGCGGCCGUAACUAUAACGGUCCUAAGGUAGCGAAAUUCCUUGUCGGGUAAGUUCCGACCUGCACGAAUGGCGUAACGAUGGCCACACUGUCUCCUCCUGAGACUCAGCGAAGUUGAAAUGUUUGUGAUGAUGCAAUCUCCCCGCGGAAAGACGGAAAGACCCCAUGAACCUUUACUGUAGCUUUGUAUUGGACUUUGAACAGAUCUGUGUAGGAUAGGUGGGAGGCUUUGAAGCAGGGUCGCUAGAUCUUGUGGAGCCAACGUUGAAAUACCACCCUGGUGUGUUUGAGGUUCUAACCUAGGCCCGUAAUCCGGGUUGGGGACAGUGCAUGGUAGGCAGUUUGACUGGGGCGGUCUCCUCCCAAAGUGUAACGGAGGAGUUCGAAGGUACGCUAGUUACGGUCGGACAUCGUGACGAUAGUGCAAUGGCAUAAGCGUGCUUAACUGCGAGACUGACAAGUCGAGCAGAUGCGAAAGCAGGACAUAGUGAUCCGGUGGUUCUGUAUGGAAGGGCCAUCGCUCAACGGAUAAAAGGUACUCUGGGGAUAACAGGCUGAUACCGCCCAAGAGUUCAUAUCGACGGCGGUGUUUGGCACCUCGAUGUCGGCUCAUCUCAUCCUGGGGCUGUAGCCGGUCCCAAGGGUAUGGCUGUUCGCCAUUUAAAGAGGUACGUGAGCUGGGUUUAAAACGUCGUGAGACAGUUUGGUCCCUAUCUUCCGUGGGCGCUGCAGAUUUGAGGAAGCCUGCUCCUAGUACGAGAGGACCGGAGUGGACGCACCUCUGGUGUAUCGGUUGUCACGCCAGUGGCAUUGCCGAGUAGCUAUGUGCGGAAGAGAUAACCGCUGAAAGCAUCUAAGCGGGAAACUCGUUUCAAGAUGAGAUCUGCCGGGGCCUUGAGCCCCCUGAAGAGUCGUUCAAGACCAGGACGUUGAUAGGUCGGGUGUGGAAGCGCAGUAAUGCGUUAAGCUAACCGAUACUAAUUGCUCGUGCGGCUUGACCAG